This 497-nucleotide ribosomal RNA is filed under the name uncultured bacterium. RNAcentral's name for it is "partial 16S ribosomal RNA". It matches the Rfam family "Bacterial small subunit ribosomal RNA", at positions 28 to 507 of the family's 1533-position model. The record is from RNAcentral.
GAUGAACGCUGGCGGCGUGCCUAAUACAUGCAAGUCGAGCGAACAGACGAGGAGCUUGCUCCUCUGACGUUAGCGGCGGACGGGUGAGUAACACGUGGAUAACCUACCUAUAAGACUGGGAUAACUUCGGGAAACCGGAGCUAAUACCGGAUAAUAUAUUGAACCGCAUGGUUCAAUAGUGAAAGACGGUUUUGCUGUCACUUAUAGAUGGAUCCGCGCCGCAUUAGCUAGUUGGUAAGGUAACGGCUUACCAAGGCAACGAUGCGUAGCCGAACUGAGAGGGUGAUCGGCCACACUGGAACUGAGACACGGUCCAGACUCCUACGGGAGGCAGCAGUAGGGAAUCUUCCGCAAUGGGCGGAAGCCUGACGGAGCAACGCCGCGUGAGUGAUGAAGGUCUUCGGAUCGUAAAACUCUGUUAUUAGGGAAGAACAAAUGUGUAAGUAACUAUGCACGUCUUGACGGUACCUAAUCAGAAAGCCACGGCUAACUACGUG